UACGUAGGGGCAAGCGUUGUCCGGAUUUAUUGGGCGUAAAGAGCGUGUAGGCGGCUUUGCAAGUCCGUUGUGAAAACUCGAGGCUCAACCUCGAGACGCCGGUGGAAACUGCAAAGCUAGAGUCCGGAAGAGGAGAGUGGAAUUCCGUGGUGUAGCGGUGAAAUGCGCAGAUAUCAGGAAGAACACCCGUGGCGAAGGCGGCUCUCUGGGACGGUACUGACGCUGAGACGCGAAAGCGUGGGGAGCGAACGG
RNAcentral lists this ribosomal RNA (252 nucleotides) under uncultured bacterium. RNAcentral describes it as "partial 16S ribosomal RNA". It matches the Rfam family "Bacterial small subunit ribosomal RNA", at positions 524 to 775 of the family's 1533-position model. The record is from RNAcentral.